Molecule: ribosomal RNA, 809 nt
Filed under: uncultured bacterium
Lineage: Bacteria
Description: bacterial SSU rRNA
Rfam family: Bacterial small subunit ribosomal RNA
Source: RNAcentral
AUUUACAUUUGAGUGAGUGGCGAACUGGUGAGUAACACGUGGGAAACCUGCCCAGAAGCGGGGGAUAACACCUGGAAACAGAUGCUAAUACCGCAUAACAACUUGGACCGCAUGGUCCGAGCUUGAAAGAUGGCUUCGGCUAUCACUUUUGGAUGGUCCCGCGGCGUAUUAGCUAGAUGGUGGGGUAACGGCUCACCAUGGCAAUGAUACGUAGCCGACCUGAGAGGGUAAUCGGCCACAUUGGGACUGAGACACGGCCCAAACUCCUACGGGAGGCAGCAGUAGGGAAUCUUCCACAAUGGACGAAAGUCUGAUGGAGCAACGCCGCGUGAGUGAAGAAGGGUUUCGGCUCGUAAAACUCUGUUGUUAAAGAAGAACAUAUCUGAGAGUAACUGUUCAGGUAUUGACGGUAUUUAACCAGAAAGCCACGGCUAACUACGUGCCAGCAGCCGCGGUAAUACGUAGGUGGCAAGCGUUGUCCGGAUUUAUUGGGCGUAAAGCGAGCGCAGGCGGUUUUUUAAGUCUGAUGUGAAAGCCUUCGGCUCAACCGAAGAAGUGCAUCGGAAACUGGGAAACUUGAGUGCAGAAGAGGACAGUGGAACUCCAUGUGUAGCGGUGAAAUGCGUAGAUAUAUGGAAGAACACCAGUGGCGAAGGCGGCUGUCUGGUCUGUAACUGACGCUGAGGCUCGAAAGUAUGGGUAGCAAACAGGAUUAGAUACCCUGGUAGUCCAUACCGUAAACGAUGAAUGCUAAGUGUUGGAGGGUUUCCGCCCUUCAGUGCUGCAGCUAACGCAUUAAGCAUUCCGCC